UACGUAGGGGGCAAGCGUUGUCCGGAUUUAUUGGGCGUAAAGAGCGUGUAGGCGGCCUGACAGGUCUGCUGUGAAAACUCGAGGCUCAACCUCGAGAUGUCGGCGGAAACCGUCUGGCUAGAGUCCGGAAGAGGAGAGUGGAAUUCCUGGUGUAGCGGUGAAAUGCGCAGAUAUCAGGAGGAACACCAAUUGCGAAGGCAGCUCGCUGGGACGUUACUGACGCUGAGGUGCGAAAGCGUGGGGAGCAAACAGG
This 253-nucleotide ribosomal RNA is filed under the name uncultured bacterium. RNAcentral's name for it is "partial 16S ribosomal RNA". It matches the Rfam family "Bacterial small subunit ribosomal RNA", at positions 524 to 776 of the family's 1533-position model. The record is from RNAcentral.